RNAcentral lists this ribosomal RNA (228 nucleotides) under uncultured bacterium. RNAcentral's name for it is "partial 16S ribosomal RNA". It matches the Rfam family "Bacterial small subunit ribosomal RNA", at positions 568 to 795 of the family's 1533-position model. The record is from RNAcentral.
UGCGUAGGCGGGGCAAUUAGUCAGUGGUGGAAUCCUGCGGCUUAACCGUAGAACUGCCAUUGAUACUGUUGCCCUUGAGUAUAGUUGAGGUGGGCGGAAUGUGUAAUGUAGCGGUGAAAUGCAUAGAGAUUACACAGAACACCAAUUGCGAAGGCAGCUCACUAAGCUAUAACUGACGCUGAGGCACGAAAGCGUGGGGAGCGAACAGGAUUAGAUACCCUGGUAGUC